This 446-nucleotide ribosomal RNA is filed under the name uncultured bacterium. RNAcentral's name for it is "bacterial SSU rRNA". It matches the Rfam family "Bacterial small subunit ribosomal RNA", at positions 31 to 507 of the family's 1533-position model. The record is from RNAcentral.
AAGGAACGCUGGCAGCGUGCUUUACACAUGCAAGUCGAACGGGAUUAUUAUCUUCGGAUGAUAUGAGAGUGGCGAACGGGUGAGUAACACGUAAGAAUCUACCUUUAGGACGGGGAUAACUUCUGGAAACGGAUGCUAAUACCCGAUAUGCUGUGGAGUGAAAGGAAUUUCGCCUAAAGAUGAUCUUGCGUCUGAUUAGCUAGAUAGUGUGGUAAUGGCGCACUAUGGCGACGAUCAGUAGCUGGUCUGAGAGGAUGGACAGCCACAUUGGAACUGAGACACGGUCCAAACUCCUACGGGAGGCAGCAGUGGGGAAUUUUCCGCAAUGGGCGAAAGCCUGACGGAGCAACGCCGCGUGAGGGAUGAAGGCCUCUGGGCUGUAAACCUCUUUUAUCAAGGAAGAAGAUCUGACGGUACUUGAUGAAUAAGCCACGGCUAAUUCCGUG